Molecule: non-coding RNA, 68 nt
Filed under: Paraburkholderia unamae
Lineage: Bacteria; Pseudomonadati; Pseudomonadota; Betaproteobacteria; Burkholderiales; Burkholderiaceae
Description: Fluoride
Rfam family: Fluoride riboswitch aptamer (crcB RNA motif)
Source: RNAcentral
GGUUCGAAAGGAGAUGGCAUUCCUCCUCAAACCGCCGGCUUGGCCCGGCUAAUGAUGCCUACGGUCCC